AGCUCCAAUAGCGUAUAUUAAAGUUGUUGCGGUUAAAAAGCUCGUAGUUGGAUUUCUGCUGAGGACGACUGGUCCGCCCUCUGGGUGAGUAUCUGGUUCGGCCUUAGCAUCUUCUUGGAGAGCGUUGCUGCACUUCACUGUGUGGCACGUUAUUCAGGACUUUUACUUUGAGGAAAUUAGAGUGUUUCAAGCAGGCGCACGCCUUGAAUACAUUAGCAUGGAAUAAUAUGAUAGGACCUUGGUUCUAUUUUGUUGGUUUCUAGAGCUGAGGUAAUGAUUAAUAGGGACGGACGGGGGCAUUUGUAUUGCGACGUUAGAGGUGAAAUUCUUAGAUCGUCGCAAGACAAACUACUGCGAAAGCAUUUGCCAAGAAUGUUUUCAUUAAUCAAGAACGAAAGUA
This 400-nucleotide ribosomal RNA is filed under the name phytoplankton environmental sample. RNAcentral's name for it is "partial small subunit ribosomal RNA". It matches the Rfam family "Eukaryotic small subunit ribosomal RNA", at positions 587 to 991 of the family's 1831-position model. The record is from RNAcentral.